CAGUACUGUAUAAAAGAAGAAACUGUGAGAAACUGCUCCAAAUGGCUCAUAUCCACUAUGACCUUGAGCGUCUAUGCACUCAUCACUUCUUGGUCGGGUUCCAUUUCGCUAAUGCAGCGGAAAUGAGCCGUGGGCAUUGCAAAGCGAAGUGGAGCAGAUUCGUGGCGGCAUUUCACCACUGCACACCAUGAAAACACAAACAGGGCCAGGCAUAACAAGGCUCGACACACACAAGAGAUGAAGACGCUGGAGAGGGCAAUGACACAGAAAGCUCAGAGGCUGGCCACGUGCAAUUCAAUUGGACGGCAAUUAAAACACAUGAGAGCUCCACAUUCAGAUCCUAGUAGAUGCUGCUGUCCUUCCCUACCUGAAGUAUUUCUCCAGGUCGAUGACCACCAGGCUGAGGAUCU
Molecule: long non-coding RNA, 410 nt
Organism: Thunnus maccoyii (southern bluefin tuna)
Lineage: Eukaryota; Metazoa; Chordata; Actinopteri; Scombriformes; Scombridae
Exons: 3
Source: RefSeq, a predicted model, not a curated record